Molecule: long non-coding RNA, 847 nt
Filed under: Linum usitatissimum (flax)
Lineage: Eukaryota; Viridiplantae; Streptophyta; Magnoliopsida; Malpighiales; Linaceae
Description: long non-coding RNA (LUSI_LNC006068)
Source: RNAcentral
GUUCGUGCGAUUUCUCUUUGGUUGCUGUACACCCUCCUCCUCAACAGUCACCAAUCAGAUGAAGUGUUGAAAACUAGCAGGUACCAACUCUUUAGACUAUAAAUUCAGAUCGAGCUGUCUUUGCAUUUUUCUUCACUUGAGCUUCUACAACUGCAAAUACCAUAAGGAGUAUCCCCGUCAAAGUAAGAAUCUGAAAUGUUUGUUCUUUUUGCUUAACUACAAUGCUCGAAACUUGAAUAGCAGAAACAGUCUGCAGCUUCAUUGUAAACUCACCAAGUCUCAUUGUACAUUUCUCAGAGGCCAGGACUAUCGCUUUCAUAACUGGAAAAUGUGCAAACAACCAAGAGUUUACUCUUCCAAUUACACACUUGCACCAAAAUGCAAGCAAUUUUUAGCGUAUAGAGUUCUGAGUUCAUGUUUAGAUGAGUGAAGCUUAGCACAGAAUCACUAUCCAUUUUUUGAACGUCAUACCGGUAAGAAGUUCUCCUGCCGGUUACUUCCCUUGUUCCUAUAAGCUAUGCUAAAGAAUCGAAAUAUGCUGCUUGCACCAACUUAUCCUAGAUCCUGCUGGAGAAAUUGUCCCCUAAAUCACAAUGCAAAAUCCAAAACCUACUAAGGAAUCGAAUCUAUACUUGAUUGUAGAAAAUACUCUUCCUUCUUCAGUAAUUCGCCCAUAUUUUCCCAAUCCAAAAAUCCAACGGCCGCAGUUACAAGAAAACCCUAGCAAUUUGGGGCCGGAGAGUAAGAGAGAGCGUACCAGUUUGCUGAGGCGCCGGCGAAUAGCCGUAGAUGGCUUGGAGUCUGGCGAGAGGUAUCAAAACAGAGAGAAGGAGGUUUGAGAAUGGCG